This 260-nucleotide ribosomal RNA is filed under the name Microterricola sp. ISOM099_OTU891. RNAcentral describes it as "partial 16S ribosomal RNA". It matches the Rfam family "Bacterial small subunit ribosomal RNA", at positions 29 to 289 of the family's 1533-position model. Lineage: Bacteria; Bacillati; Actinomycetota; Actinomycetes; Micrococcales; Microbacteriaceae. RNAcentral also lists the same sequence under 3 other names. The record is from RNAcentral.
ACGAACGCUGGCGGCGUGCUUAACACAUGCAAGUCGAACGAUGAAGGAGAGCUUGCUCUUUGGAUUAGUGGCGAACGGGUGAGUAACACGUGAGCAAUCUGCCCUUGACUCUGGGAUAAGCGUUGGAAACGACGUCUAAUACCGGAUACGACCCUCGGAGGCAUCUCCUGGGGGUGGAAAGAAUUUUGGUCAAGGAUGAGCUCGCGGCCUAUCAGCUUGUUGGUGAGGUAAUGGCUCACCAAGGCGACGACGGGUAGCCG